This 497-nucleotide ribosomal RNA is filed under the name uncultured bacterium. Its description in RNAcentral is "partial 16S ribosomal RNA". It matches the Rfam family "Bacterial small subunit ribosomal RNA", at positions 28 to 507 of the family's 1533-position model. The record is from RNAcentral.
GAUGAACGCUGGCGGCGUGCCUAAUACAUGUAAGUCGAGCCAACAGACGAGGAGUUUGCUCCUCUGACGUUAGCGGCGGACGGGUGAGUAACAUGUGGAUAAUCUACCUAUAAGACUGGGAUAACUUCGGGAAACCGGAGCUUAUACCGGAUAAUAUCUUGAACCGCAUGGUUCAAUAGUGAAAGACGGUUUUGCUGUCACUUAUAGAUGGAUCCGCGCAGCAUUAGCUAGAUGGUAAGGUAACGGCUUACCAAGGCAACGAUGCGUAGCCGACCUGAGAGGGUGAUCGGGCACACUGGAGCUGAGACUCGAUCCAGACACCUACGGUAGGCAGCGGUAGGGAAUCUUCCGCGAUGGGGGAAUGCCUGACGGAGCAACGCGGCGUAAGUGAUGAUGGUCUGCGGAUCGUAAAACGCUGUUAUUAGUGAAAAACAAAUGUGUAGGUGACUAUGCACAUCUUGACGGUACCUAAUCAGAAAGCCACGGCUAACUACGUG